This 85-nucleotide unclassified non-coding RNA is filed under the name Canna jaegeriana. RNAcentral's name for it is "partial external transcribed spacer". Lineage: Eukaryota; Viridiplantae; Streptophyta; Magnoliopsida; Zingiberales; Cannaceae. The record is from RNAcentral.
UGACCGUGUCGGCACGUGAGUGGUGACGUACUCGCAUGCGUCGGCGGGCUCCCUGCUAUAGUGCAGCCAACCGUCGCCGCUGCAG